Long non-coding RNA from Meriones unguiculatus (Mongolian gerbil), 6635 nucleotides. RefSeq lists it as uncharacterized. The record is from RefSeq and is a predicted model, not a curated record. Lineage: Eukaryota; Metazoa; Chordata; Mammalia; Rodentia; Muridae. The transcript is spliced from 7 exons.
GGUAAUACCCACAAAGAACUCCAAUGCCAGAGCUUAGAAUUUAACCGCCGAGGCAACGUAUACACCACGAAAUAACCAGAUAAUAAUUUAAGACAGGAUGUAAUUAGUUGCCGAGAGGCCCGGACUAUAAAUACUCCGGGACGGAGAGAAAGAAGCAACCCCUGAAUGGGGCUGGAGAACGCUUUCUAUUCUGAGCGUGUCUUACAAAGGGGAGCUUUAACUUGUCUUCAUUACCACGUGGCAAGACAACAGCGGUCUCAAGGGGCCUCAUGCUCGGCAGACUUACUUAAUUGCUGUGUUUCAGACAAGUGUUCCUGACCGGUCUCGGCUGACAUCUGCACCGCAGUGCUGCUCGCGGAGUGUCUUCCUGGUGACGCCAUCACCGUUCUUCUCGGGGACCAGAGGGCUUUAUGUAACAUGGAGAUGCUGCUUCAAAACGUUAUGGUGGAGAAUGUGCCUGAAGUGCGGGAGGGAUGUCCAGUGGUGAUGAUCUGGUCUUCAUGCUCCUGUGGGUACGGAAUGGAGGAGAAACAGAACACUCUAAACUACUGCAGCUAAAGCCAAGUUAGCACCCGCUGACCACAGCAGUGUUGGACACAAAGAACAUUUAUAUUAACUGCAGGGUGGCCACUGAAAUUCUCGUCAGCCGUCUGGCAGUGUGUUUUCCCGCAAUGAAUCAGAAUCCACAUGCUGGACCGUUUGCACCAUCUGUUACAGGAGUGUCACGGGGGAGACGACUCUAGACACCUGGUGUGAUGACGUGGAAAUGUCAGCUCCAGGAACUAUUAGUGAAAGAACUGCUUGGUAUCCACGGCCAACCUCGAUUUUUAAAGCAACUGAAACACCCAAGUAGUUGCAGCCAGCCUGGGAGCGUUUACUGGCAUUUGACUAGCCGGCACACGUGUGUAUGAUGAACAAGGACUUGUGAGCUGUCUCACUGUUGUGGACUCUUGAAGCUUGUUUCCGGUCACAGCAAUAUAAGAAGAGCUUUCUAUUCUUUGUUGUCUUAUCCAGCUUAAAGGUGCACACACAUAGACCCUUCCCUUCUCACUGAUGGUCUGCAGGAUGUAAAGAUCCUCAUAUGUAUCACACUUAAUUCUGUGUUUGAACUGAAAGCUGUACAGCCAUUAGUGAAGCCAGUUUUCAAGCCCAGAUUCUCCAGGCCCCAAGGAUCAGGCGUCUUACUCCAAUACAUGGUGAACUUGGCUAUCAAAAGCUGUUCACAAACCAAACCCAUGUGGCACUGGCCAUAACCUGAUGUAGACCUUUCCCCCUCCUCUUAGGGGACAAAAAGCAGGCUACAGAAGAAACCCAAGAUUCCCCAAAGAGGGGUAUUUGAAAUCCCCUGCCUUCACUUUUUUCAAGUUACCUCAGUCUCAGACUGAGAUCUGGAUGAUUCAAUAAUUCAUCUUUUUAUUUUUUUGAAUUUUUCUUUAAUGGACUGAAUAUAUGUGUUCCAUCCAAAUCCAUUUGUUAAAGCCCUAUCCUCCUACGAUGGCUAUAUUUAGACUAACAAAGUAUUUAAGAGAGGUCCUAAGGCCUGGGGCUCUGAGCUGGGGUUGAUGGCCUUGUAAGAAGAGAAUGAGAGAACUUCUGCGCAUGCUCCGUGGAAAGGCCCAGUGGCGGCGCAGAGGGAAUGCAUUUGUCCGCCUGUCAAGUAGAGAUCUGUCCUCAGCAAAGGAAGUGACUGCAGCUUUACGUCUGAAUUCCCCAGUCUCCAGAACUGUUAUCAAAUAAUUUCUGUUGCUUGAGACACUCAGUCUAUGGAAUUUUGUACUACAGCUCAAGAUAAUAAAAUAAACAAGAUAAUAAAAAGCUCUGUCUCCUGCUCCAGCUGUGAAACACGCCUAGCAAUAAGUGGAUGAAUCACUGGCAUGAUGCAGAAACAUGUGACGGUUCUCUUCCAUUCCUUCGGCAGCACCAUUCUCUCUCCACCGCCCAGCAUUCUGUGUCUCCCCGACCUGUGAUGACCACGUGAACAAGGCAAACAGAUUCAUGGGAAAAUGGAGCUUUAAAAUCUGGUGGCUUUAUAGACAAGCAGGCAGGAAAUUUAAAUCCAAUCAGACAAAAUGAAAGAGCUGGCUUUAUCUCUUCUAGUCACAGAUUACCUAACUAUUCAGAGACUUUCCUGAAAAAGCCACAUCAUUAAAUUAAAAAGAAGUCCACUCUACAGAUGGAAGAACUGUUGUUCUUUAGUGAUGAUGCCUUGAUUUGGGACAUCCUGUGUAAUAAAAAACAUUGAUGGGGAAAAGCUGUAGUGCUAACACCCCCAAAGUAUUUAAUUGAAGAAGAUGGCAGCACACUGAAACAGCACUAAAUGAAAUGCAGAAGAAAAGGAUGGCUGAAUGGAGAAACUAGGAAAUUGGUUCAGUUUAACGAGCACUUCCUUCUGAAAAGCACUUUCCUUUCUGGAAAGAUGGACCCCGUGUCUGUGGCUUGCCUCGGUUCAUUCUCCAUGAUAAUGAUGACCUUGCCAGAUCCUGAUUCUUUUUCUUCCAGGUUUUUUUUUUUCUUUGCAAAGAAUCUAGCAACCCCCUCUUUGUUCUGCUUUAGAAACAUCUGUUGCAAAUAUAAUGUUGAGUUUAUUUGAAGCUAACAGCUGCCCAGUAGCAAUUCAAAGAAACAGCCUAGGUGAAGUUGUUCUAAAAUUCCUUCCUAAAAGGGCCAGUUUCACAUACUGUACCCUUAAUUGCAUUGAAAUUAUGUGUGGUCAGAGCUUGAGGGAUGGAAACAGUUCUAACUGGUUAGCAAGAUGGACCAGUAUUUUGUGUCUGAUGAUACCCCUGACGUAUUUAGUCCAAAUAUUUAAAUAUUUAAGUCUUCAUAAAAGGGACAAGAAAGUCACAGUUUGGACUUGAGGCCAACUGGCUCUUGGCUAGGGCUUAUCAAGUAAAGAGGCGCUGUCCAGACACUGCAAGCUCAAUUUACACCUCCCUACAGCUCACACUAAAAUAAAUUUGAAUAACAUAGCAGUCUUGAGUCUUUUAGUAGGGAUGCUUUUCAAAAUUGAGCCAACAACAAGCUACUCCUAAAUCAACCACUAAAAGAAAAACCACUAACACCAGACAGACCUUGUACAACCUGGAACCUUUGAGGCCUAGCCCAGAAAUGCGAGCUAAUUCAACAAGGAACAUUUAUGAAAUGCUAGCGAGGCUCCUCUGACAACAUUAAAAAAAAAAAAAAAAAAGUCUUUAACCUUGAAUUUUCAGAAGGUUCAAACAGGACUAAAGCUCAUAUAUCUAAGUUUUGCAUAGAGUCCACUGUGAGCCUUUAAUAGUUUUAAACUUAUAUAUACCCACAGCCGGACAACAGCUACAGGAGACAUGGAGGGCUGCUGACCGCAAGUUGUUAGUGGAAGAGCUGUAGGUGAACAUGUAAAGCCCCGGUACAGAGGGAUACAUCUAAAGUCACUCUACAAAAGGAAGGAAGGGCUAAAGGAAAUUCAGGCCUUCCUAACUCAAAACCCCCUUUCCCCACCACACAUGGAUCUCAGCUUUUGGUGUCUGCAUGAGAACGUAAUAAGAAAGAAGACACAGAAGGCCGAGCUCAGGGUGGUGAUUGUUGAACAAUGUGCUGGUCCUGUCCCCAUCACCCCAUAUCCUAAAGGUGGCUUCCUUUCUACCUCCUCCUCUUCUCUUUCUUCCUUUCUCUUCUCUACCUUUAAUUUCAUCUGCUCUCCAUAUUGAUUAGUCCCUGUCUUAGUUACUACUCUACUUCUCUGAAGAGACACCGUGACUAAGGCAACUUAUACAUGAAAGCAUUUAAUUACAUGCUUGCUUACAGUUUUAGAGGGUGAAUCCAUGACCAUCAUGGCAAGAAGCAUAGCAACAAGCCAACAGGCAUGGCUUUGGAGCAGUAGCUGAGAGCUUACCUCUUGAGGUAACCUUAAGACACACAGACACACACACACACGCACACACACACACUGUAUACAACAAAGCAGAUCAUCCUCAGGAAGGGAAAUGAUAUACCCAAGCUCACUUGCAAGUGAUUCAUGACAAUUACACUGUCUUCUCUUCCCAAUCUUCCCCAGGGACCAAAAUAGUCAUAUUUGCUCUUCUUGCUUCUCUUUUCUUUUUUUCUCUUCCUCUUUGUUUGUUUCUUUAUUUCUAUCUUUUCUCUGCUUCUCUCUCCCCUUCUUGUCCUAUCAGAGGAGAGGCCAGGCCCCUCUCAUCAAUGUCUAUGUCCCCCUGGUGCUGACCUCAAGGUUAACUGCAAAGGCUCAACCCCUCCCCCAAGCCUCCAGAGCUGGUAUAUCAUUCCAGUAUGUGGCUGGCUGGAAUUUAGGGCAGCAACUCAGCAAAACAAAGUUAUUGAAUAAAUGACAUGAUUAGUUGUGUGUUCAAGAUACUAAGAUAGAUUUCAUAAUGAACACUGCAUCAGAGUAGAGGGAAUGCAGAUGGAAAUGGGACCAAGGGAUGGGGUAGUGAGAGCCUGUCUAGAAAAGGCACCCAGAUCUACCGGAAGGUGAGUAAAAGGCUCUAGGGGGCUGUUUUGAGCUCUUGCAGUUAACCUUGAGGUCAGCACUAGGGGAACAUAGACAUUGAAUAGAGGGGACAGGACAAGAAGGGGAGGGAAUCAGAGAAAGGACAGAAAUAAACAAACAAAGAGGAGUCAAAAGAAAAAAAAAGAAAAAGAAAAGAGAAGCAAGAAGAGUAAAUACGACUAUUUUGGGGCCUGAGGAAGAUUGGGAAGAGAAGACAGUGUAAUUGUCAUGAAUCGCUUGCAAGUGAGCUUGGGUAUAUGAUACUUUCGUUCAUGACAUAUAAUACAACUUAUUUUCUACUCUAAUUGCUUUGCUGGGCUUGGGCUGUUUUUACCUCUAUUUGCUAAGCAAGGCUACAGGGGAGGGCAAGCAGGAUUUGGCCACAGAACCAGGCUGAGAGUUUUAGAAGAGAAUCUGAGAUGUUGGAUGAGGACCAGAGGAAACCAUUUGGACAGACUCUUUCUGAGUUUUUCUAUGGCUGGACAUUCUGAGCCAAUUAUGUCACAGGUCAUUAUGACUUGAAAAAUGUCACAUUGACUCUGUGUAAAGUACAGGUUUUCUUUUCUUUCUGGCGUUUGGUUGAAGGCAUUGUAAUUUUGUGUGCUGGGUAUAAAGACAGCUUAAAAAAAACACAAAAGUAAGCAAUCACUUUAAUACAUAGUGGCAUUCUUUUAAAAAUCUCCCAAUAUUGUGUCAUUUUAUCAAAGCUGCCAUUUAUGAGGAGGAGGAGAUCAUUCUUUGAGUUACUACCUCCUAAAAGAAGAGGACAGAUGAAAUUACUUCAAAAGGGGUUGGCUGAAAAAUCCUCUCCUAACUUUGGCUGAAUUCUUGAUUUGUCAAAAUGUUUUUCAAAAGACAUAUGUGGGCUCCAUCAGUCCAGGGCCUUUCCACUUUGCAUGUAUAAGUAUUUGCCUCUUUAAUGAGACUGUGUUUGCUUUACCAUUAAUACUGUGUAUAAUGUAAGAACAGAUUGUUAAUCUCAAGCUUUCAGCUAAAACAGUGCUUAGGUAGCACGAUCAGGUCAGGGCUCUAAAGACGAUUUGCAUAGGGGGUGCUGGCAACAUAGGAGGCAGCUUAACAUCAUUCUUUAAAAGAGCUUAAAUGUGGAUCCUGAAGUCUGUUUCCUCAUACUGCCCAUGCCCUUCAUUAGCUCAGCUGUGUUGCAGGAGUUAGUUUGGUUUUCUGUAUUCAUCCCAAAAGGUGAGUUGAGGUCUUCAUGAGAUAGGCUUAUUAGAAGAGAAGAAUAAAUUACAUCCCCUCAUCAGGGGGCUGGGCUCUCACCUCUGCCUCAAAUUCAGCUUCUUGCUUAGCAGCUGAAUACCAGCCAUAUUUCUUUAAGUCCUGCAGUACACCAAGCAUUUCCUGCUUCAGGGUUUGGCUGUACAUAGCUUUUUUUCUCUGAAACACUCACUCUCACCACCAAACAUAGCUCAUCUCUGAGGAUGCAUUGCAAAUGUCCUUUGCCAGUGUGGCUUAAGUUCACUUUUCCUGAUCGUGAAGUGUAAAUAACUUCCUUUUGAUGUAUUCUUGCCCCACCUCUGUCAAUGGCUACAGAUGAAACUGAGGCCUUACAUACACCAGUCAAAUACUGGACCAUGGAGAUAUAUUCCCAGCCCUCUACUGCAAUCAAACACAAUUUUAGUCAUAAUGGAUUGUGUGGAAUCCUGAAAUUAAGGUUGAAAUCUGGCAUUUCCAGAUGGACUCCCUUUCUCAGCUGGGUUCCCUCUCCCCCAAUCUGGAGAAUCCCAGAUCUUCUAAGGAGUAUCACAUAGUCCUCAGAAGGAUUACAAGCCUAACCCUUUCUUGAUAUAAAAAUCAAUCAAUCAAUCAAACAAACAAACAAACAAACAAACAAUGAAGCAAGCACCUGGGAUUCCUGGAAACACCCAGCUUAUGCUAAUGAAUAUCUUGGUGUCUUGGCUUUCAGCCAAUGACUUUUAACUGUACCUGGAGUUCUUCCCCUACCCAUAGGAUAAUUAAGUACUGUGUCCCCCUCUUAUGAUAGGAAUGUUACUGUAUGUAAAUCAAGUAUCCCUGGUACCCCUAGGCCUAGAAAAUCAAACACAUUCACCUUUAACCCCCCCCACAGUCUAAGGUUUAUGACUCCCCAUUUCUCACGAAAUAAAGGGGGCUAGCAUCAUCUAUUUUA